Molecule: ribosomal RNA, 494 nt
Filed under: uncultured bacterium
Lineage: Bacteria
Description: partial 16S ribosomal RNA
Rfam family: Bacterial small subunit ribosomal RNA
Source: RNAcentral
GACGAACGCUGGCGGCGUGCUUAACACAUGCAAGUCGAACGGUGAAGCGCCUUCCUUUUUGGUGGGUGUGGAUGAGUGGCGAACGGGUGAGUAACACGUGAGUAACCUGCCCCCUUCUUCUGGAUAACCGCAUGAAAGUGUGGCUAAUACGGGAUAUUCUGGGUCUGUCGCAUGAUGGGUCUGGGAAAGAUAUUGUUUCGGUGGGGGAUGGGCUCGCGGCCUAUCAGCUUGUUGGUGGGGUGAUGGCCUACCAAGGCGGUGACGGGUAGCCGGCCUGAGAGGGUGGACGGUCACACUGGGACUGAGACACGGCCCAGACUCCUACGGGAGGCAGCAGUGGGGAAUAUUGCACAAUGGGCGCAAGCCUGAUGCAGCGACGCCGCGUGAGGGAUGGAGGCCUUCGGGUUGUGAACCUCUUUCGCCAGUGAAGCAUGCCUGCCUCGUUUGUGGGUGGGUUGACGGUAGCUGGAUAAGAAGCGCCGGCUAACUACGUG